Molecule: transfer RNA, 73 nt
Filed under: Paramuricea clavata
Lineage: Eukaryota; Metazoa; Cnidaria; Anthozoa; Malacalcyonacea; Plexauridae
Rfam family: tRNA
About the family: Transfer RNA (tRNA) molecules are approximately 80 nucleotides in length. Their secondary structure includes four short double-helical elements and three loops (D, anti-codon, and T loops).
Source: Rfam by way of RNAcentral
GCCUCUGUAGCUCAGUUGAUUAGAACGCUGCAUUGGAAUCGCAGGGCCGUAGGUUCAAUUCCUACCAGAGGAC